UGGGGAAUAUUGCGCAAUGGAGGAAACUCUGACGCAGUGACGCCGCGUAUAGGAAGAAGUUUUUCGGAAUGUAAACUAUUGUCGUUAGGGAAGAGAAAGGACAGUACCUAAGGAGGAAGCUCCGGCUAACUACGUGCCAGCAGCCGCGGUAAUACGUAGGGAGCGAGCGUUAUCCGGAAUUAUUGGGUGUAAAGGGUGCGUAGACGGGAGAACAAGUUAGUUGUGAAAUCCCUCGGCUUAACUGAGGAACUGCAACUAAAACUAUUUUUCUUGAGUGCUGGAGAGGAAAGUGGAAUUCCUAGUGUAGCGGUGAAAUGCGUAGAUAUUAGGAGGAACACCAGUGGCGAAGGCGACUUUCUGGACAGAAACUGACGUUGAGGCACGAAAGUGUGGGGAGCAAACAGGAUUAGAUACC
This 415-nucleotide ribosomal RNA is filed under the name uncultured bacterium. Its description in RNAcentral is "bacterial SSU rRNA". It matches the Rfam family "Bacterial small subunit ribosomal RNA", at positions 355 to 786 of the family's 1533-position model. The record is from RNAcentral.